RNAcentral lists this ribosomal RNA (301 nucleotides) under uncultured bacterium. Its description in RNAcentral is "partial 16S ribosomal RNA". It matches the Rfam family "Bacterial small subunit ribosomal RNA", at positions 509 to 807 of the family's 1533-position model. The record is from RNAcentral.
CAGCAGCCACGGGAAUAUGAAGGUCCCGAGCGUUGUUCGGAAUCACUGGGCGUAAAGGGAGCGUAGGCGGCGUGGUAAGUCAGAUGUGAAAUCCCGGGGCUCAACCCCGGAACUGCAUCCGAUACUGCCAUGCUAGAGGAUUGGAGAGGUAGCUGGAAUUCUUGGUGUAGCAGUGAAAUGCGUGGAGAUCAAGAGGAACACUCGUGGCGAAAGCGAGCUACUGGACAAUAACUGACGCUGAGGCUCGAAGGCCAGGGUAGCGAAAGGGAUUAGAUACCCCGGUAGUCCCUGUCUCUUAUAC